Scophthalmus maximus (turbot) is the source of this 932-nucleotide long non-coding RNA. RefSeq lists it as uncharacterized. The transcript has 2 exons. The record is from RefSeq and is a predicted model, not a curated record. Lineage: Eukaryota; Metazoa; Chordata; Actinopteri; Pleuronectiformes; Scophthalmidae.
GGAGUCUGGCGGCGUUUUGGCGCCGGUCGAUGAGCGAGGUGAGGAUGGACAGAACCAGCAGACGGAUCUCGGGCUCCUCCAUCAGAGUGAAGGACAGCAGCGGCUCCAGGAAGGACGAGGGCAGCGCCAUCAGCAGGUUGACCAGCAGGGCGGGGACAAUCUGCUCCAUGUGACGAGGUUCCCAAAUGUUUACCUGCAGUUCGUCGUCCACCGUCUUCCUGACCACGCCCUGCAGACCACGGAUCCCUGACACCCGGAUCCUACACACACACUCACACACAAACAUCGUAAAUGUCCCAAGGUUCACCGAACACACCAGGUGGUGUGUUAACAUGAAACCACCCAGACACAGAGACGGACGAUCACACACUGACUUGUUCCUGGUGUCGGCGUCUUCGUGUUCCGAGUGACACAUCUGGCUGAAGCGAGACACGAAGAAGUCGUAGCUGCGAUGGUACGACGGCGUGUCCUCCUCAAUGUUGGCGAACUUCACAAACUGCACAAAGACAGAAAAUGUUUUGGAUUGAAAGUUUUUAAUGGAACGACGUGAUGAGACGCAUCAGAGGGUCAAUGCUGUGAAUACCACCAUCAGACAACCAGAACAUUUUUGAUAGGCUGAAAGGCAGUGAUGUCACCCACUGUAACCACUAGAUGCUGAUUGGCGGAAAACAAGAGCAGAUUCCAUCUUUUUCUUCCUUCUCCGUCUAGAACUUCUACUUCUACAUUCAAACAUUGAACGUUCUGCUCGUUCAGGACGCUUCUGCUUCCAUUCAACUUUUUACACUUUUUGAAAUAUGCAGCUGAAUGCUGUUUGGCUGUAAUAUAGUGACAUACUUUCAUCUGCUCUGCUUUUCAUUAUCUGCUUUAUUUCAUUGGAUGUUGUAUGAUUUUUGUUGUGUAGUGUUUUGAUUGUAAUAAAUUUGCUAAAAUUA